RNAcentral lists this ribosomal RNA (468 nucleotides) under uncultured bacterium. RNAcentral's name for it is "partial 16S ribosomal RNA". It matches the Rfam family "Bacterial small subunit ribosomal RNA", at positions 28 to 507 of the family's 1533-position model. The record is from RNAcentral.
GACGAACGCUGGCGGCGUGCUUAACACAUGCAAGUCGAACGGAAAGGCCCUGCUUUUGUGGGGUGCUCGAGUGGCGAACGUGUGAGUAACACGUGAGUAACCUGCCCUUGACUUUGGUAUAACUUCAGGAAACUGGGGCUAAUACCGGAUAGGAGCUCCUGCUUCAUGGUGGGGGUUGGAAAGUUUCGGCGGUUGGGGAUGGACUCGCGGCUUAUCAGCUUGUUGGUGGGGUAGUGGCUUACCAAGGCUUUGACGGGUAGCCGGCCUGAGAGGGUGACCGGCCACAUUGGGACUGAGAUACGGCCCAGACUCCUACGGGAGGCAGCAGUGGGGAAUAUUGCACAAUGGGCGGAAGCCUGAUGCAGCAACGCCGCGUGCGGGAUGACGGCCUUCGGGUUGUAAACCGCUUUCGCCUGUGACGAAGCGUGAGUGACGGUAAUGGGUAAAGAAGCACCGGCUAACUACGUG